This 537-nucleotide unclassified non-coding RNA is filed under the name Aspergillus petersonii. Its description in RNAcentral is "sequence contains ITS1, 5.8S rRNA gene, ITS2". The stretch from base 168 to 321 matches the Rfam family "5.8S ribosomal RNA". Lineage: Eukaryota; Fungi; Ascomycota; Eurotiomycetes; Eurotiales; Aspergillaceae. The record is from RNAcentral.
UCGCGGGGCCCAACCUCCCACCCGUGUCUACCGUACCAUGUUGCUUCGGCGGGCCCGCCGCAAGGCCGCCGGGGGGGCACCCGCCCCCCGGGCCCGCGCCCGCCGGAGACCUCAACACGAACACUGUCUGAAUUAGUGGCGUCUGAGUCUAAGUACAAAUAAGUUAAAACUUUCAACAAUGGAUCUCUUGGUUCCGGCAUCGAUGAAGAACGCAGCGAAAUGCGAUAAGUAAUGUGAAUUGCAGAAUUCAGUGAAUCAUCGAGUCUUUGAACGCACAUUGCGCCCCCUGGUAUUCCGGGGGGCAUGCCUGUCCGAGCGUCAUUGCUGCCCUCCAGCCCGGCUGGUGUGUUGGGCCGCCGUCCCCCCCGGGGGACGGGCCCGAAAGGCAGUGGCGGCGCCGCGUCCGGUCCCCGAGCGUAUGGGGCUCUGUCACCCGCUCCGUGGGCACCGGCCGGCUGCCGGCCUCGACCAUCUUCCUUUUUUUUCCAAGGUUGACCUCGGAUCAGGUAGGGAUACCCGCUGAACUUAAGCAUAUCA